Molecule: RNA transcript, 2952 nt
Organism: Sycon ciliatum
Lineage: Eukaryota; Metazoa; Porifera; Calcarea; Leucosolenida; Sycettidae
Exons: 8
Source: RefSeq, a predicted model, not a curated record
GCUUUGACUUUGAUGGCUUUCAGCUUCUAUUUUUUGAAAAGUAGCGCGCUCAGACCAGCUCGCUCACUCUUUUCCUCUUCCAUUUUUUAGGGCAAUUGUUUUGUUUGAUAGACGAAGCUUAGGGUCUCUUUGGGUUUGCAAUCCUUACCCUCCUGGAAAAAAUCAUAGUUGUGCUAGACUGCGACACUUCAGACCAGGUACUAUUAGAGCCGCUAAUGGACGACGAGCUAUUUUCCGCUAUCCGGAGCUCAAGCAUUUGAGCCGCUAAAUGGACGAGACUCCUGGGGUAAAGGAUGCAGAGAAUGAGGAGAAAACACUCGUAUGGAGCAGGGAGUAGGUAUUGUACUACUUCCUGGUAUGGAGCACUGAGAAGCGCUUGGUGACAUCGUCCAAGAUCGACAGGGAUGGCGGGUCACCUGCCGUGACGCUGUCGACGCUAUUGUCCAGUCCCGCAUGGAGCCUGUGGCGAAGCCCCUCAUUUGUGGCACUUGUGCGCGCAGUUUUCGUCGGCCACAGGAUAUUGCGACGCACAAGUGUAACGCUGUUCGCGCGGCCCGCGCGCGCUGAGUAUGGCGUUCCCCGCCCGGUGGACAACACGUCUCCUGGUCUGCCCCGUAUGGGGCCACAUAGCCAGUCAUGGCAGUGGAAGAAGGAAGGACGGGGUGUGUGUGUGUGUGUGUGUGUGUGUGUAUGUGUGUGUGUGUGUGUAUGUAUGUGUAUAUGUGUGUGUGUGUGCAUGCAUGUGUGUGUGUGUGUGUGUGUGUGUGUGUGUGUGUGUGUGCGUGCGUGCGUGUGUGUGUGUGUGCGUGUGCCCCCCCCCCCAACCCAAACCAAAAUCAUGGUUUCUGGCCCCCACCUCUAACGACGAUCUAGAGCCGCUCGCGACUCGAACCAUGGAGAUUGCCCAUGUGUCGUCUUUUCGUUACCUUGGAUCCAACAUACACAGCAACGGCCGAUGUCAUGAUGAUGUUACAUCCCGGAUCUCUGUCUUUUCUCCUUCUGUCUGUCUGUCUGUCUGUCUGUCUCUGUGUGUUUGUGUGUGUGUGUGGGUCUCUCUCUCUCUCUCUCUCUCUCUCUCUCUCUCCCUCUCUCUCUCUCUCCCUCUCUCCCUCUCUCUGUCUCUCUCUGUCUCUCUCUCUGUCUCUCUCUCUCUCUCUCUCUCUCUCUCUCUCUCUCUCUCUCUCUCUCUCUCUCUCUCUCUCUCUCUCUCUCUCUCUCUCUCUCUCUCUUUACCCCGCUCUCUCUCUCUGUGUCAAUAUACAGCUUUCACUGUCCAGGAGCGACACUGACUCGCACUGCUAUCUGGUGCUCACGAGGUGCUUGUCGCGCUGCAAACGGAGCGUCUCUCAUUAGGCGAUUUGAUCGCAGGACGAGAGAGGAGCUGAUGGACGAUCUCUCCAAUGUUCCACUUGGUUCGGAGCGGCGCCGAGUGCUGACGUUGGGACUUGGCCAUUCAACUGCAGUGCCAGUCUGGCUACCUGCCCUGCCUGCGUUCCAGCCUGUGGCUGUAUCCUGCCAUCACAGCGCUGCGACGGUGUUUGGUACGACUGUGCUGAUGGCUCUGAUGCACAGUACUGCCCAGGCAAGGUCACACCAGCUCCAGGUCAAACCGACUGCCAGGUCCUGUCACCACCGGCACUGGGCUCAAUGACCGUGAACGGCUUGAUGUUCAGCAACACGACCACGUUUGUGUGCAGUCUCCCUAUGUCCUUAUGGGCUCGGCCGUGUGUACUUGUGAAAUCAACGGCCAGUGGAGCGGUGUGCAGCCAACUUGCGUCCUGACGACUGCUGCUCUGAGUGCGGCCAGUGACGAGCUAGUCAAGGACUCCGUCUCAGAACGCAUGACACAAACGUCUCCUGCUCCAUGCCCAUUGUUGGAGCGACAGUCCUGGAAUCCAGAGUUGCAAGUGAGGUGGUGAUACGGCAAGCAGACGGUGGCAAAGUACGGCUUAAAAGCUCUACAUCUGGCAAGUGGCCGGCAUACCACCCCAAUGGACAUCGGAACAGUACACGUAGAGUAGCAUCUCUACGUGACAGGGUAUGAGCGCAAGCCAGUAUUGCCAAGCACUGGGGACCUUUGGCAAUCUGAAGAAUGUUUUGUCCGAGAAUCGAUCCUUGGAUCUGUGGCGUUGCAGUUGUGGUGCUCCCGACCCUCUUGGGGGACCUUUGGCAAUCUGAAGAAUGUUUUGUCCGAGAAUCGAUCCUUGGAUCUGUGGCGUUGCAGUUGUGGUGCUCCCGACCCUCUUGCGCGAUGGCCGCGGAGACCUAGCGAAAAGGUUCGAGACAUACGGCAUCUCAAUAUCUUCCACCACAAUCAGUACAUCAGCACCACCAUCGAGUGUAGCGACAUCAGCAAUAGAAGACGCACAUGAUAUCAUCCACCCUUACGGCCUUAGCGAAGACCCGGGAAUACCUGAGAAGAUGUUAGCCGCAACUUUACUGGAAAAGUCGUCGGUGACAACGGCACUCCAUAUUUUAGCUGCAUGCAGUUAGGUCUCUCAACAAGUGUACCCAAAGUUUUCAAGCUAAUACACAAGCAAAUUCACUAGGGGCCGAGUAUAUUUUCCUACACCUCUCCCUGUUUGUUGUUGUUAUUUCUGCAUUCAAAUUGUUUGUGUACCUGUACAUUUAUUACAGUAGAGCCACGCAUCCACAGCUGUUGUUUCCAAGGGGUCAGGCUCGUCAGUUAUACAAAACCUUUCAGCAAUCUGGCCUUAGGCUUAGUUCCUUGACUUCUUGUACCACUUUCUUAGAUGCACAUCCCACUGGAUAGUGAGCAAUACGUGUGUAGCAGAAUCUGUAUUCCAGAAAAGCAGAGACUCGAGUCUAUUGACACUGCGUUUCUUUUUAAAACGUUAUUGGCUGUGGUGUACCUAGAGGUAUACACGUACAUUCCUGGGUCCCACGUUCUGUGACGCCCGACUGUAUUCGUGGUGCCUCAACAACUUUUAA